Atta colombica is the source of this 473-nucleotide long non-coding RNA. RefSeq lists it as uncharacterized. The record is from RefSeq and is a predicted model, not a curated record. Lineage: Eukaryota; Metazoa; Arthropoda; Insecta; Hymenoptera; Formicidae. The transcript has 3 exons.
AUUUGUGAAUUGUGUUUUGACGGGCCGAUGUAAUCUCAGUUUUAAUCAGUGAAAUCUCUCUCUAUCAGAUAAUCUAAUGAUUAGGUUAAAAACAUUUCUAUAUUUCUCUAUCCGGAGAAAAACGGCAAAAGUUUUGAUUUGGAUUUUAUAUAUCUUUGCGAUGCCAUUAUUUGUGUAUCAAGGUGUUUUAAUAAAUCCGUGAAGGAUACACAUUGAUCAGAUUUCCCAAGGAAGACUAAUAUCGAAAAGCAUAGAUAAAUGCUACUUUAGAUGAGAAUGCAUCAAGAUGUCUGGAUAAUCUGAGAUUGUGUGAAAUACACUGAACCAUUAGAUAUAUAAUGGCGAAUCCGAUUGGAAACUAAUGCGCAUUGACGCAUAUUAAAACCGUUGUACAUUGACUUAAUUUGACUAUAAAAAUACAAAUACAAAUUUCAAAUUAUGAAAUACAUAUUUUACCUAAUAGUAUAAUAAAA